CCUACGGGAGGCUGCAGUGGGGAAUAUUGCACAAUGGGGGAAACCCUGAUGCAGCGACGCCGCGUGAGUGAAGAAGUAUUUCGGUACGUAAAGCUCCAUCAGCAGGGAAGAAAAUGACGGUACCUGACCUAGAAGCCCCGGCUAAAUACGUUCCAGCAGCCGCGGUAAUACGUAGGGGGCAAGCGUUAUCCGGAUUUACUGGGUGUAAAGGGAGCGUAGACGGGAGGGCAAGUCUGGAGUGAAAUCCCAUGGCUUAACCAUGGAACUGCUUUGGAAACUGUGCAGCUGGAGUGCAGGAGAGGUAAGCGGAAUUCCUAGUGUAGCGGUGAAAUGCGUAGAUAUUAGGAAGAACACCAGUGGCGAAGGCGGAUGACUGGACUGUAACUGACGUUGAGGCGCGAAAGCGUGGGGAGCAAACAGGAUUAGAUACCCGUGUAGUC
RNAcentral lists this ribosomal RNA (440 nucleotides) under uncultured bacterium. RNAcentral's name for it is "partial 16S ribosomal RNA". It matches the Rfam family "Bacterial small subunit ribosomal RNA", at positions 338 to 795 of the family's 1533-position model. The record is from RNAcentral.